UUAGCAUUCAUAAAAACAUGGUGUUCUGUCUCUCCCAUUGUCUGUGUGUGUGUGAUAAAGAUCAUGUUCAUUCCUGCAUGGACGUCUCCCAGAAGAGAAGUGCGCACUUCUCUCCCGAAAGAGAAGUGAAUCAGCGAACGGACAGACACUAGGUCCAAUUGUUUUAGAAAGCGGACAUACACAUUUACAACGGUCUAAUCUGGCUCAUGAGCAGAAGAAUGAGGCGAGUUCCCAUAUCAACAAACACGAAAACACAGACAGACAGCAGACACGAGCAGAGAACGACUGGAAACUGGAAAAUUCCCUCUCUGGACUUUUCCCAUAAGCCCUCCCAUGUUCAACAGACCAGACUGACACAAGGAUGAAUUCCUUUUAACACAUGCCAGACGCCAUGGUUACGCUGACUUCGGCUCAAGACUGCGAUUCCCAUCAGCCACUGCACCUGCCUGGACCAUGUCAUGUGACUGCACCUGAAUCACCUUUUUUUGGGUUAACAAAAAGGGAGAGCUUGUAUUUUAGUCUUGUCUUCCGCAGAACACGUUUUCUAGCGUUUUGUCUUUUGUUGUUGGUCCGCAUGCUUCAUGUUUUGUUUAACUUAAUCUGCACUUGCGCCGGCUUCCUCCACGAAUCCCUGACAUGUGAUUUUAUUCUUCAGAUGUGUUUUUUCACAUGAAUAUUUUUUUUACACGAUCACACACUGAUUCCAUUGAUCCGAUUUCAGGGCAUGGUAUGACCACAUUCCCUCCAUAAGUAUUGGAAAGGCAAGGCCGAUUCUUUUUCAGUGCUGUACACU
Molecule: long non-coding RNA, 793 nt
Organism: Hemibagrus wyckioides
Lineage: Eukaryota; Metazoa; Chordata; Actinopteri; Siluriformes; Bagridae
Exons: 3
Source: RefSeq, a predicted model, not a curated record